This 581-nucleotide ribosomal RNA is filed under the name uncultured bacterium. Its description in RNAcentral is "bacterial SSU rRNA". It matches the Rfam family "Bacterial small subunit ribosomal RNA", at positions 102 to 681 of the family's 1533-position model. The record is from RNAcentral.
ACGGGUGCGGAACACGUACGCAACCUUCCUUCAAGCGGGGCAUAGCUUUCGGAAACGAAAAUUAAUACCCCAUAGUAAUAUCUGAGGGCAUCUGAGGAUAUUUAAAGAUUUAUCACUUGAAGAUGGGCGUGCGCCUGAUUAGGUAGUUGGCGGGGUAACGGCCCACCAAGCCUACGAUCAGUAACUGGUGUGAGAGCACGACCAGUCACACGGGCACUGAGACACGGGCCCGACUCCUACGGGAGGCAGCAGUAAGGAAUAUUGGUCAAUGGACGCAAGUCUGAACCAGCCAUGCCGCGUGGAGGAUGAAGGUCCUCUGGAUUGUAAACUUCUUUUAUCGGAGAAGAAACCCCCGAGUUCUCUUGGGGUUGACGGUACCCGAUGAAUAAGCACCGGCUAACUCCGUGCCAGCAGCCGCGGUAAUACGGAGGGUGCAAGCGUUAUCCGGAUUCACUGGGUUUAAAGGGAGCGUAGGUGGGCUGGUAAGUCAGUGGUGAAAUCUCCGGGCUUAACUCGGAAACUGCCGUUGAUACUAUCAGUCUUGAAUAUUGUGGAGGUAAGCGGAAUAUGUCAUGUAGCGG